RNAcentral lists this ribosomal RNA (491 nucleotides) under uncultured bacterium. RNAcentral describes it as "partial 16S ribosomal RNA". It matches the Rfam family "Bacterial small subunit ribosomal RNA", at positions 28 to 507 of the family's 1533-position model. The record is from RNAcentral.
GAUGAACGCUGGCUACAGGCUUAACACAUGCAAGUCGAGGGGAAACGACGGGGAAGCUUGCUUCCCCGGGCGUCGACCGGCGCACGGGUGAGUAACGCGUAUCCAACCUGCCUCUGACUGGGGGAUAACCCGUCGAAAGUCGGCCUAAUACCUCAUGGUAUCGUCUGCGGGCAUCCAACGACGAUUAAAGAUUUCAUCGGUCAGGGAUGGGGAUGCGUCUGAUUAGCUUGUUGGCGGGGUAACGGCCCACCAAGGCUACGAUCAGUAGGGGUUCUGAGAGGAAGGUCCCCCACAUUGGAACUGAGACACGGUCCAAACUCCUACGGGAGGCAGCAGUGAGGAAUAUUGGUCAAUGGGCGAGAGCCUGAACCAGCCAAGUAGCGUGCAGGAAGACGGCCCUAUGGGUUGUAAACUGCUUUUAGGCGGGGAUAAAGUGAGGGACGUGUCCCUCAUUGCAGGUACCGCAUGAAUAAGGACCGGCUAAUUCCGUG